UACGUAGGGUGCGAGCGUUAAUCGGAAUUACUGGGCGUAAAGGGCGCGUAGGCGGCCUGGUAAGUAGGGGGUGAAAUUCUGCGGCUUAACCGCAGAGCUGCCUUCUAAACUGUCAGGCUUGAGCACGGUAGAGGCUGGUGGAAUUCCCGGUGUAGCGGUGGAAUGCGUAGAGAUCGGGAAGAACACCGGUGGCGAAGGCGGCAUCCUGGACCGAUAUUGACGCUGAGGCGCGAAAGCCAGGGGAGCAAACGGG
RNAcentral lists this ribosomal RNA (253 nucleotides) under uncultured bacterium. RNAcentral describes it as "partial 16S ribosomal RNA". It matches the Rfam family "Bacterial small subunit ribosomal RNA", at positions 524 to 776 of the family's 1533-position model. The record is from RNAcentral.